Molecule: unclassified non-coding RNA, 748 nt
Filed under: Parashorea chinensis
Lineage: Eukaryota; Viridiplantae; Streptophyta; Magnoliopsida; Malvales; Dipterocarpaceae
Description: partial contains small subunit ribosomal RNA, internal transcribed spacer 1, 5.8S ribosomal RNA, internal transcribed spacer 2, and large subunit ribosomal RNA
Rfam family: 5.8S ribosomal RNA (bases 315-470)
Source: RNAcentral
UCAUUUAGAGGAAGGAGAAGUCGUAACAAGGUUUCCGUAGGUGAACCUGCGGAAGGAUCAUUGUCGAUGCCUGCACAGCAGAACGACCCGCGAACUCGUUUUAAAGAAACAGGGUGCUGGGGGGAAGGGCGCCGGGCGAGAGCCUGGGGUCCCAUCCUCUCCCGUGCCCCCGGGGGCGCGUGCGAGCGCCAUGCCGCCCGCCCAUGCCCCCGUUAACGAACCCCGGCGUGGACCACGCCAAGGAAAACCAACGAGGAAGGCUCGCGCCCGCGCACGCGGGGGACGUGCCUCCCUUAACGCUUACUAUGAAAAACGACUCUCGGCAACGGAUAUCUCGGCUCUCGCAUCGAUGAAGAACGUAGCGAAAUGCGAUACUUGGUGUGAAUUGCAGAAUCCCGUGAACCAUCGAGUCUUUGAACGCAAGUUGCGCCCCAAGCCGUCAGGCCGAGGGCACGCCUGCCUGGGCGUCACGCAACGUCGCCCCCCCCCCACCCCCUAACAAGGGUGCGAGGGCGGGGGCGGAUGCUGGCCUCCCGUGCGCGCUCUCCGCUCGCGGUUGGCCCAAAAGCGAGUCCCCGGCGUCAGGCGCAAGGGCAAGCGGUGGCCACUCGUGUCCGCGUCCUGUGCCCCUGUGCACCCGGCGUCCCACAUUUGGGAGCUCUUUCGAACCCCGAUGCGUCGUCCACACGGACGGCCUCGCAACGCGACCCCAGGUCAGGCGGGACUACCCGCUGAGUUUAAGCAUAUC